This 460-nucleotide unclassified non-coding RNA is filed under the name Hevea brasiliensis (rubber tree). Lineage: Eukaryota; Viridiplantae; Streptophyta; Magnoliopsida; Malpighiales; Euphorbiaceae. The record is from RNAcentral.
GGCAAAUUAAAUAUCUAUAAUGGAAAACUAAAACAGAAACUAACCUAGACGGAUCUGUGAAGAUCCGUCUUGAAUGAGCCAAAGCUUUAAAACUCCCGGUACAAGUGAGGAUGGCGUCAAGCUGCUGGCCGGAAUCAUUGUUGUACGUCCUUGCUGCUGUUCGUCCGGCGUUCCGCCAUAGCUGCUGGUCGGAGUGGCUGCUGGCUGGCGUUGUCGGAGCUGCUGUCACUGUUGUUGGACUGCUUCCCUGCAAGAAGAAAAAAGGAAAAGAGGACGAAGGAGAAGAGGAGACGAGAAGAGGGGAGAAGUGGAGAAUGACGGGAGAGGGAGGAAGGAGCGGCGCCGCCUGCUGCUGCUCGCCAUGGCUGCUGGUUUCGCCGGCGGUCGCUGCUGCUGGAGAAGCUGCUGCUGCUCCUGGUUUCGCCGGCGGUCGCUGCUGCUGGAGAAGCUGCUGCUGCUC